GAUUUCUGGUACGAUGCGCCUAGCCCUGUCUCGUCAGAGGCACGUGUGCUGGAGUGCGUCUGCCAUCUUUCUAGAGAGCGACGCUAACCUUCAUUGGCUUGGUGUUCGUCAUCUAGAUCUUUUACUUUGAAAAAAUUAGAGUGUUUAAAGCAGGCUUGCGCUAUGAAUACAUUAGCAUGGAAUAAUAAUUUAGGACUUCGGUUCUAUUUUGUUGGUUUCUAGGACUGAAGUAAUGAUUGAUAGGGAUAGUUGGGGGUGCUAGUAUUCAGCGGCCAGAGGUGAAAUUCUCGGAUUCGCUGAAGACUAACUUAUGCGAAAGCAUU
RNAcentral lists this ribosomal RNA (323 nucleotides) under Paracercomonas sp. RNAcentral describes it as "SSU rRNA". The stretch from base 105 to 323 matches the Rfam family "Eukaryotic small subunit ribosomal RNA", at positions 735 to 955 of the family's 1831-position model. The record is from RNAcentral. Lineage: Eukaryota; Cercozoa; Cercomonadida; Cercomonadidae.